UCUGUUUUUAUUUUUUUUUUUUUUUUUUUGAUUUUUUUUUUUUCUCUUUUAAUCUUUCUUGCUUCAAUGUUCUCUAUAUGUUCUAAUUACUUGUAUCUCCUAUAGACUACGUCGUUAGGUGAUAAUAUUCGUAUUCUCUGUUCACGCUCUGAUAGUAACUCUCCCCGCCUCUGUAAUAUACGAUGUUCGGGCAACGUACCGGCCCUCCUCAUAUGAUCUCCAUCCACUUAUCGUCAACUCACCGGUGCGGACACCAUACAGUGUGUCGGGCAGAGCCAUAACGGCAUCUCACUUACCACGUCACCCAACUCCCGCUAUAUUGUCUCUUAGGGAUAGGGGCAGUUGGACCAGGGCAGACUUGGUCUAGGUCUUAACGCUCGACGCGUCCCCUGGCAGCUCCUCCCUUGGCCUAGCAAUCCAGCCCAUUAGGAGCCUUGGCCCAGCGGCUGGGGCUCAGUAAAUAAAAUCCCCUUUCAUGGCAAAGGGGCAGGUAUUCUAACUCACAUCUGAUAAUCAUUCUGUACCUUUUCUGACUUAAGCAUUGGAGCACCUUGCAGCAGGUACCACCCUCUCACUUUCAUUCUCUGGCCAUUCACCAAGACCUUGGAAGGCCCUCCUGAUCAGGUAAGAUCAGUGGCGGCCGUCUGUGGGAACCAGCUAUCCCCAUCUUCAUCAAACGAGGAUCAAAAGCUCAUUUAUUUCUGUCUCCAACAUGGCCGGAGAAACAACAUACGCAUCACAGCCGUCCCCUCGUCAACUACAGAUAUGACGACGGCCCGCCAUCCCAUGAAAAACGGACGCUCGGGACGGUCAUCCAUCCACCCCGUCUCAGAGCCCACAAACAACGGGGAAUGCCUCUCACGCCCAACAAUUAGGGCGAGACAUUCAUCCAUUCCCGUUCCCGUGAAGGAGACGCCGUAAUGAUUGCAUGGUGAAUGCCCUCAAUCAGGCCGUUCUAUGCUCCACCACAGCACGAACGAAUCAUGGCCCUCGAAGCCGACCGACAAAGAGGCCCGACCCAGCCGGUGAGUAGUGAUACAACAACGUUCGGAGCCAACGAAGAAGCGAAGGACGUCGCUCUCACAGAACCCACGUCACAGGGCACGCGCGCCCGUCGUGACGGUGUGAGCGGGAACAUCACCAAGGCGCGGACACAGCCCCGACAACAACGAACUGUCUCCCCUUAAGGAGCGACGAGGAAAGAAUUUGCAUUGCCCCCUAUCUCGGCAAUAAUGGAAGCCGCUCCCAAAGGCAUGGAGAAACCACAAUCUAGCUGUGUAACGACACAAAAACAACCAAAACACAACACAAACGGAACUACAGAUCCCNAUAUAUAUAUAUAUAUAUAUAUAUAUAUAUAUAUAUAUAUAUAUUGACUGAAUAAUGUCGAGAAUGUUAGUCAUUGUCCAUUCAAUUACCUUUUUGUGUUUCUUAAAUACUUGUAACAAUUUUUGUUUAUUUUCAUAUUCAAAUUUAGAUGGAAUUGUUACAUGAAAAAAAUUUCAUCUGAUUCUAAAAAUACAUAUUUUAAAUUUGUAGAGAGUGAUUUAAGCUCUAAAGCAUGUGGUUGCUCAAUGGAAGACAAAAUUUUGACACUAAAAACUACAUUUACAUACGAAAUAUCAAUUUUGUCGGUAGAUAUUUUUAUAUAGAGCUAGCUCAUGCAGGGAUAUUAAAAAGAGUGUGAUAAUUAAGAAUAAAUCCUAAAAUAUUUAGCUACAAUUUUGAUAUAGAUUUUGAGAGUUAAGACCUAAUUAAGAAUUCUAACAUAGGAAUUACAAUAAUUCGUUUGAAUAAAAAAUAAUAAAGGAAAACUAAAGAAAUAGACAAAAAGUAAGUCUAAGACAAAAUGAGUUCUACCAAGUAGGGGUGAGAAUAUCUUAAACUAAGUUAGACUUUAUUAAACUUAAGCCUCAUCCUUAAAAAAAAAUCAAAGCAUGAGUCUAACAUAUACUACAUCAUAAGUUUACUUUUAGGCUUGAGUCCAACAUUUGUGAAGAUGGUAACCUACUCAAAAGCCUAUUUUAUAUAGACAUAUGUAAAUAAGAAAUUAAAAUUUAAAUAAUAUUUAAAUAGAUUAACAAAUUAAAAUAUCAAUGAGAUUAAAAAUUGAUUGCAUUAUUUAUCUGAACUUAUCUAUUAUCAUAAAUUUUGUGAGAUUAAUUUUUUAAAGUAACUUAUGGAACAUUGUUCUUAAAGGUGUUUUCAACUUAUUUAUAUAAGUUAUCCAAGAUAGUUAAAUUUUUUUUUUAUAUUUUAAUUCAAAGUAAAAAAAUAUAAUAAUAAUAAUAAUAAUAAUAAUAAUAGUAAUAAUAAUAAUAAUAAUUUAAAUAUGUUGACCUAAUAGAUUUAAAUUAAUUUUUUAUGACCAGAGAGAAGUCUAGUCUUUUUAACAAAAUAAACUCAUAAAAAAAACAAUGUCUUUUCUAUUUAAAUAAAAAAUCUAAUAUGAUCUAUAUUAUGUAAACUAGAUCCUAGAAAUCUAUUCUCACUUGUAUUCUCAAGCUUCUGAACCAAAAUUCUAAGUUAUGCCAAAAUUUAAUACUCUCCUUAAUUAGAAUUUGAUUUAUUUAGAAAGAGUAAAGUAGUAAAAAUAUGAGUGAAUAUAGAAGAAAGACCGGAGAAGUUAGUUCAAUAAGUCUUUUCUUGGUCACCACUUAAUUGGAAAAAAAAUGAUGUUCAAUUAGGAUAUUUAAAUUUAAAUCAAUAUGAAAAAAUUAUAAAUCAAUUUAAAAAAUGAAAAUCACAUAAUGAAAUAUUAUUUUAAUGUAAUUUUAUAAAAAAUCUUUGGAUUAAUAAGAAUUUUAAAUUAAUUUUUCAACACUAAAUCAAAUUAUAUAUAUUUUAUUAUUUAUUUAUUUUUAUUAGCAUAAUACAUAAUAAUCUAUUAUUAAUUUGUUUUUUAAUAUUAUUAUUUUUUAAAAACUGUUGAUUUAUAAAUGUCAAUAAUUUGAUUACAUUAAUAUAAAAAUAUAAAUAAAUAUUAUCGUAAAUAUUGAACUAUAGAUCAAUAGUUGAUUCAUAAAUAUUAACAACUUAUUUAUAUUUAUUAAUUUAAUUUAAAUUAUUUUUAUUAUUUAAUAUUUCGUAAUAUUACUUUUUUUAGUAUAUGAUAUAUUAUAUACUAGAUACAAAUCACUAUUUUAUCAUAUUUUGAUAAUAUUAAUACAAACAAAAAUAUUUCACUAAAAAAAUUAGAAAAGUUAUAUCAAUUAGAGAAGUGUUUUUAUGACUGUUUCCAACCGUCAUAAUUUACAGAAAAUUGACUCAGAAAAGUGGUGGUUUCAUAUUAACCGCCGCACUAACCUCCAUAAUGUACAUUAAUUUUAUGCCAUAAUUAUAUCGGUUUUGUAUGUGUUACAGAAAAAACAACUACUGCAAAUUAAAAAAUUAGUAAAAUGUUAAAGAAAAAUAAGAAAAAAGUUUUUAAAUAAAACUAUGCCUGCCCUCUUACGUUGAAAGCCAACAAGAAUGCGUAAUAUCAAAAGAAAAUAAAUAAAUUAUUAACAAUUUAUUUCGUACAAUAGAAUCAAAUAAAUAUUUUUUAAAUAAAUAUUUUUUAAAGACAAUAUAAAAGAUUUCGAUUCAAAGUGAUGGAGAUAAUAGGAGAAGAAAGUAAUUCAAAGUGUGUUUUAUUUUUAUUUAUUUUUCUACCUUAAACAACCUAUACCUUUUGUGUCAGUUGGGUUAUGUCAAGUAGCAUCUUGAAAAUAGCUUAUCUCCGAUAUUCUAGACUCCUACAUCACAUUACAAACCAUUAAUGCCACAUUUACAGUCAUCCUUACUAUUUUUUCUUUAGUAGCAAUAAUGACAUGUCUACGUGCAUAUAUUGUUAUAUGAGUAAACAAUCAUUUUAGUACUCAAAAUUACAAGGAGAUGAGAGAGUUGAUGAGCAUACAAUUUGAGCACAAGAUGUCCUUGUUGAAGAGUUCAAUAAGGGAAUAAAUUAUUUUCAUACUGUGUAGACUUUACUUUCUAAAGGGAAGAGUUCAUCAAUGAUAAAAAAUGUUACUUUGUGUUUCACAUUAAUGAUUCACUUCCUUUUAACAUUCUGGGUUUUAUGGCGAACAAAUAUCAACCCACAUACAUAUAAGUCAAAAACUCAUUUCAUCGACCACUUUUGAAGCUUUAAAGCAGCACAUUAAUCAUAUAUUUCUUACUUUUACAUACACCUGCCUCAAAACUUUCAUUAAUUCCAACUUGCAAAGUUAGGUACUACAAAAAAUAGACAACGAAAUUUUGAAUCACUUUCAUUAAUUCCAAUUCCAAUUCCAAUUAUAUGAAUUAUAUGAAUUUAUUACUGUAUUAUUUAUCAUUAAAAAAUUACAUUAAUUCAACUUGUUGAAAUUAAGAUGAUAUGCUUUGAGUAAUCUCAAAAAAGAUUCAAAGGUUUGGCUUGGAGAAGAAAGGAAGUCAACAAAACACUAGAAAUUAAUAAUAUAUUUUAAUAUACACUAAUUUUAAUUAGUGAUAUUUCUAAAUUAGAGUCAUCAUGAUUCAUGAUACAUUUAAAAUUAAGAAAGAAUAAACCAAUCUAAUUAUACUAUUAUUUGGUGCCUUAUUUAAUUUCAUUUCCAGCAUAGUAAAGUACAAAGCCACAAUUUCAAGAUCUCUGAAAUUACAAAACAAAAAAAUAAAUGAACAUACAAUACAGUUAUUAGAUGCCAUCAUAAAACAUAAAUGGCAACUUAUGGAAUAUUAUAUAUAAAGGUUUAUUGAAGAUAAUUUUUUUCUAGUGCAAGAAUUCAUUGUUUUCUGCACGAUAAUUGUGUGCACUCUUCUUGCGUAUGACUCCUAAAGGUAUACAAGUUCCAAGUAUGCACUUAUAAUCUAUAGUAGUAAAUUCGUACAGUUGUGGACAAUCUUCCACAUUUUCACAUUUAUAUAGUGCUGCAAUAAAAUAAGAAUGAAAUAAUGUGACUAAAUGAGAUAAAAUAUUGUAUUAAAAGUAUAAAGUAAAGAUUUUUUUUUAAAUGAUGAAAAUAUGGCUUACCAUCGACUUUCUUCACAACCAAAAAUAUUGAAAGAAAUAACACCAUAACAUAAAUACACUUGAGAGUUUUAUCCAUUUUUUUUCCUUUUUGCAUGUAGCAAAUAUAAAAUGAUUUGAUCACUUUAUAAUGCAAUGUAUUUGUCCCUUCAACAUAUUUAGUAAAAAGGUAACUUACAAAAUUUGAUAAUCA
RNAcentral lists this long non-coding RNA (5183 nucleotides) under Lathyrus oleraceus (garden pea). RNAcentral describes it as "Pisum sativum (pea) long non-coding RNA (PSAT_LNC039855)". The record is from RNAcentral. Lineage: Eukaryota; Viridiplantae; Streptophyta; Magnoliopsida; Fabales; Fabaceae.